Molecule: ribosomal RNA, 253 nt
Filed under: uncultured bacterium
Lineage: Bacteria
Description: partial 16S ribosomal RNA
Rfam family: Bacterial small subunit ribosomal RNA
Source: RNAcentral
GACAGAGGGUGCAAACGUUGCUCGGAAUCACUGGGCGUAAAGGGCGUGUAGGCGGGUAGAUAAGUCGGGCGUGAAAUCCCUAGGCUCAACCUAGGGACUGCACUCGAAACUGUUUAUCUUGAGUGCCGGAGAGGAAAGCGGAAUUCCUGGUGUAGAGGUGAAAUUCGUAGAUAUCAGGAGGAACACCAGUGGCGAAGGCGGCUUUCUGGACGGUAACUGACGCUGAGACGCGAAAGCGUGGGGAGCAAACAGG